UGGGGAAUAUUGGACAAUGGGCGCAAGCCUGAUCCAGCCAUGCCGCGUGAGUGAUGAAGGCCCUAGGGUUGUAAAGCUCUUUCACCGGUGAAGAUAAUGACGGUAACCGGAGAAGAAGCCCCGGCUAACUUCGUGCCAGCAGCCGCGGUAAUACGUAGGGGGCUAGCGUUGUCCGGAAUCACUGGGCGUAAAGGGUUCGCAGGCGGAAAUGCAAGUCAGGUGUAAAAGGCAGUAGCUUAACUACUGUAAGCAUUUGAAACUGCAUAUCUUGAGAAGAGUAGAGGUAAGUGGAAUUUUUAGUGUAGCGGUGAAAUGCGUAGAUAUUAAAAAGAAUACCGGUGGCGAAGGCGACUUACUGGGCUCAUUCUGACGCUGAGGAACGAAAGCGUGGGUAGCAAACAGG
Molecule: ribosomal RNA, 403 nt
Filed under: Verrucomicrobiota bacterium
Lineage: Bacteria; Pseudomonadati; Verrucomicrobiota
Description: Verrucomicrobia bacterium partial 16S ribosomal RNA
Rfam family: Bacterial small subunit ribosomal RNA
Source: RNAcentral